This 478-nucleotide ribosomal RNA is filed under the name uncultured Gemmatimonadota bacterium. Its description in RNAcentral is "bacterial SSU rRNA". It matches the Rfam family "Bacterial small subunit ribosomal RNA", at positions 9 to 500 of the family's 1533-position model. Lineage: Bacteria; Pseudomonadati; Gemmatimonadota. The record is from RNAcentral.
GAGUUUGAUCUUGGCUCAGAUUGAACGCUGGCGGCAUGCCUAACACAUGCAAGUCACGGGGGCCCGCAAGGGCAACCGGCGAACGGGUGCGUAACACGUGAGCAAUCUGCCGAUUUCUGGGGGAUAGCCGGCCCAACGGCCGGGUAAUACCGCAUACGCUCAUUUGGGGGAGUCCCCGAGUGAGGAAACCUCCGGGGGAAAUCGAGGAGCUCGCGGCCUAUCAGCUAGUUGGCGGGGUAACGGCCCACCAAGGCUCUGACGGGUAGCUGGUCUGAGAGGAUGGCCAGCCACAUUGGGACUGAGAGACGGCCCAGACUCCUACGGGAGGCAGCAGUGGGGAAUCUUGCGCAAUGGCCGAAAGGCUGACGCAGCGACGCCGCGUGUGGGAGGAAGCCCUUCGGGGUGUAAACCACUGUUGCCCGGGACGAAUGCCCCUUUCGACGGGAGUGACGGUACCGGGUGAGGAAGCACCGGCUAA